CUUGGAAUUAGUUGGAAGACUUGGAGUUGCUGGAAGACCUGGAGUCGUUGGAAGACAUUGGCGCCAUUGGAAACCCUGGACAUUGGAGACAUUGCACAGGAUGUUGGAGACAUUGGAAGCCUUAGAUUUUGAGGACAUUCGUUAUUCUGAACAUUGGAGACUUUGGAGACCCUGAGUGUUGGAAUUAGUGGAUAUUGGAAGCCGCGAAUACUAGAAGCCCGAAACACUAGAGACAUUGCAAAUCCUGUACCUUGAAAGCCCUAAACAUUGGAAGAUAUGAACAAUAGAAGAUCUAGACAUUUAGAAAUUUCAAAAUCAUAAGCCUUGGAUAUUGGGAGACACUGGAAAACCUGUAUAUUGAUACAUUCAUGCUAAAAGACAUAGAAUUUGGAAGAUAUAAUUUUCAUGAUGCUGGAAGUCAAGAAUGUUGGCAGCCCUGAACCUUAGGACAUCCGAAGAGAUAAGGACAUAAAGAGACCCACCCAUUCAGACAUCGGGGUUGUUGAAAUAUCUGAAUGUUAGAAGAUCAGGUCCUUAGAGAUAUUGAAAGACUUGGACAUUGGAGGAACUUGUGAUGACAAGACAUUAUAAAAUCAGGCUCCAGGAGACACUAAAAGUUAUAGGAACUGAAUGAUCUAUGUGCUGGAAGACAUGGGAAGAGCUAGACUUGGACACAAUAAAAUACGUGGACUCUAGAAGACCUGUAUCUAGGACACAUUGGAGGAUUGGGAACAUAGAAACACUGGAAGUUAGAACUCUAGACUCUGAAAGACAAGACCUGGAACUUGAAGACUGAUUUUUGGAGAUAUUAGCAGACCUAGACUUUUAAUGUCCCCAAUAGUGAGGAGAUUAGAAAACACUGGCCUUGGAGAUGCUGCAGGCCAGAGAGUAGAAGACACAGAUAUUGUAAAAUUUAGAAGAUCUGGCAAUUGGAGAUGUUAGAAGCUAUGGAGCCCAGAAGACCUGAUGCUAGUGACACUGAAGAAUUGAAAGACCUAGUCUUAGAGCUGUUGGAAAGCCAUGUUGAAAAAUAUUGGCAAUAUUGAAAGACUUUACUAUUAGGACCUGAUGUUACAGUAAAGGUCAUAAGGCUACUCUAACAGUCUUUAUGAUUAUGGCAUCUCUUUCACUAAACAGUAAAACACAGAGAAAGGACUUUUUAAGAUGACACAGAAGAAGUGGGGAAAUUCAAUUAAAAGUAGUUUCAGUGGGUUAGAAUCUACUUCAGAGUCUCAAUGAACAGGGCUUCUGGGUAUGUAUUGACUGACAGCAUGGGAAUGAGAAAUUAUCAAAGAUUAAGCAAUAUAAAGGCCAGGGGAACUACUUGGCUUUAGAUCAGGGGUCAGCAAAAGUCUUCUGUAAAGGAUCAAAUAAUAAAUAUAUAAAGUUGUGCAGAGGCCAUAUGAUUUCUGUUGCAACUACUCAACUCUGCCAUUGUAGUGCAAGCCAUAGACAAUAUGAGUAAACAAGUUGGGCCAGAUUUGGCCCAAGUGCCUUAGUUUGCCAGGCCCAGCUCUAGAUGCCAAAUCUGGGGUAUGGUAAACUUAAGUACAUUCCAGGCUAGCGUUCACAUGCAGAAGGGAUAGAGCAAUUUGAAGCCCAAUGACAAGUAAAGAUACCAUGUAUGUGAUGAUACUCAGGAGAUGAGGCUGGCGAGAACCUAAGAAUGGAGUUUAGAUCUCCGAUUGAUUGUUUCAGGAUUGUAACAAAGAGAUUUGUAUUCAGAGCCAAAAUUAAGUGAGUAGCAUUCAGGGCCCCAGCCCAAGGGGCUAAGAUUCAGUGAGGAUGCUCUAAUUCUGUAGAUUGGAAGCUUAAGAAGAAAACUAACAAAGAAACUCACCUCUACAGACUAGGGUUAUCCUGCCAAGACUAAGCACCACUCACGCAGAGAGAGAGUCCCCAGCCCAGGACAGACAAGAAGUCAGUGGCAAAGCCCUCCCUCCAAGUCCCAUGUUCUUGUCCUUAGGGCACUCAUCACCCCACUGCCAAGUAAUCAAGAGCCAACUCUAGGUGUCUGCAAUGAUGGGUUAAUCAUACCUUUGGCUUUAUAUAGGAAGUAUAACAUCUCAAGCACAUGAUAUUCAUAUUUAAUUGCUCAAUAUUUGCUAUUCAUGCAAUGAAAUGUACUCUUUAGCCUUUCAUCUGUUUUCUCUUUGAUUUUAUGGUUUCCAAGAACAUACACACUCUGGUCAUAGCACAUAAUACUUAUUUCUGAAUUCUUAGAAAAAUAACCAUAACACACUGAUAUCAAAGGCCAUUAAAAGGUAAUAAAACUAUGUAAAGUUCAGUAGUCAAUGCAUUUCACAGCACAAACACAGUGCACACACUCUUUAGACUAUAUACGCUGUAGAACCUUAUUAGCAUUCAGGUGCCGGCAGCUACAUAAUCCAAAUGUGGAGUUUAAAGAGCCUUCUUUGCAUUUUGAUCUUAAAAGAUUUUAGGCAAACAAAAGGCUCUUUUUAAAUGUAAUGCCAGUUUUCUAAUAUUUUCUACAAAUUUCAGCAACCUGGGCUGUCCUUUCUCUCCAGCUCCUUUUGCUUUUUUUCCCCUUUGCUCCAGUUGUUAAAUAUGUCUAUAGAAAAGGAAAUUUCCAUGCACUUCAUGAUAUGGAACACAAGCAUUUCCCUGAACCAUUUGACAAC
This is a non-coding RNA of Vicugna pacos (alpaca), 2642 nucleotides long. The record is from RefSeq and is a predicted model, not a curated record. NCBI's taxonomy places the organism in Eukaryota, Metazoa, Chordata, Mammalia, Artiodactyla, Camelidae.